UUGAGAAAGAAAAGCAGAAGCUGCUGCUAGAGAUUAGAGAUCAGAUCGAGAAGCUAGUAGAGAAAUUGAGAGAUGAUGAAGAGAUUCAGAGAGACACUGUUCGAAUUCAGACAUGGCAGAGAUGAUGUUCAAGAAAGAAAGGGUGAAUCGGGAAUAAAUUGAGAUGAAGAAACUUAGGGUUUUGCUGUUGCUCAAUCGAACCAAGAAAUUAGAGUUGAGAAAGGGGAUCUGGUGCGAAUUGAAACAAGGGGUUUGUGUUGAUUUUCUAUUCUGAAGGAAGAACCUGGUGGAUUUGUAUGAAGAUUAAAUGAGAAAAGGGGAUUCUGAACUGAGAAGGAAUUAGGAUUCGAGAUUUAGGGUUCUGUGAUGUUGAACAGAGAAGAUAGGCAAGAAACAAGAAGCUGUUACCAACUGCUGUUUCGAUGCAGGUUUUGAAAAGAUGGGUUUGAUGGGUUUUUGGUGGUCUUGGUUGUGAACAGUUGGUAAUGGAGAAGUUUGAGAAGCUGAAAAUGAAGCUGUAGAUGAUGAAACUGGUUAGAGUUCUACUUGAUUUUGGUUCGGCAAAUUGGUGGAUGACUGAAUGAGUUUGAAAAGAAAUGGCUGAACUACUGAGCUGUUAAUGGAAGUGGAUGUUGAUGGUGUGCAGCUAAGAAUGCAGUUAAAGCUGCAGAGAUAGUGGACUGGGGUUGUGCAGGCAUGAAGUGAAGUUGAUGCUAUUGAAGUGACAAGGAGUUAUAGGACAACGCAGAUGCAGUUAGGGAAAGUGCUUGUGUAGAAUGGCUAGUGGUGCUGUGUUAGUGGGUUUGAUUGUGGCAAUGAGUUGAGGAAGUGCCAGAGAUGGCUGCGGGAAGUAGUGGUGCAGCUGGUUAUGGAGAUGAAUGGCAGUUGGUCUUGGUUUGGCACUGCAAUGGACUGAAUUGCAGGUAUGAGGUGCAGCUACAAAUGUGCUUGUUCAAAGAAGCUACAAAGGAUGAGUGGAAUGCAUUGCAGGUGAUGCAACAAUGAAAUUGAGUCGAAUGUUGCAGUUUGUGCAGGAUCUAAAGGAAGAGUUAUGUAUGAUUGAAGUGCACCUGGGUAUGAAAUGCAGGAAAGGCUGGUCUGUAAGUACUGUAUGAAUGGUCUGAGCUCGGAAUUGCAGGUGGAGUUUGGCUGAAUGCAUUGGAGCUGAUUGAGCUUGUAUGAGUCACGAAGGAAUUGAAGUCGUAGCUGGAAUUGCAAGAGCAUUACAGGAUUGUGGAUUUAAAAGUGGUGUUUAUGUCAUCAAUGGGAGUUGGUAUUGCAGCUGGUAAUGACUCCGGAGAUUCUUACAAGAUAGUGCGAGAUGGAGUUGUGCUGGAGAUUACAAGGAAUAGCUGAAAUGGAUGAGAGUGUUGCCAUAGUACUGAAGCUGUGAUGUUGUUGGUGGUUUCUGGUGUGCAACUGAAUUUACAGGAGCAGAAAGGUGUUGGUGGUAUGAAUGGGACUGUAAUGGAUUGAGAUUGAAGUUGCAGUUGCAAGUGUUGUUGUGAUAGAAAGAAUGAAGGUGUUGGGGCUAGGAAGUGUUGGGGCCUGUCAUGGCUCUGCAAUGGUUUCAAGAGAAGGUGCUGGUGCUUGAAAGGGAGUGUUGGUGCUGAUAUUAAAGUGGAGAUGGUUGAAUCAGUAAGAUGGUGGUGUUGCAGGUGAUAAAUGACCGAGGAAGCUGAGUUGCAGUUGUGUAAGCCAAUGCAGUGGUGGAAUUGGAGCUACAAGGAAGUCGUGGGGAGAAGACAAUGGAGUCUGGGUUGUGAUACGAAGUUAGUACAUGGAUGAAUUUGUGGAGUUGGCCUGAGUUGUGAAGGAUGAAUGAAUAGAUGCAUGUUAGGAUGAAGUUGUGCAGUGAAGGUUAGAAUGCUUCAACAGAGGAGUACACGGUCAGUUCCAUGGGACUGACAGUUCAACCGAGUUGACUCAAUCCAGUGAGACAGGCGAGCUGACUCAGACCCGGUUGGACUUGGACCUGGGCUUGGCUGAUGGGUGUUUUAGGAGCGGGCUUUUGGCAGAAAAUGGUUGCAGAGAAAAAAGUUUCAGGGUUUGCUCUCUCUCUCAGACGAAGAAACAGGCCGAGAACACGAUUUCUAAUCGAAAUUUCCAGUUCAACAAUGGAACUAUGAAGAUCUUCAACAACAACAGAAAUAAAGAAGAUAACAACUAAUCGUCAUUCACAGGUGAUUCAAAAUCUGAUUCUUCUUUUGCUUUGGAAACAACUAAUGAAGAAGCUGUUAAUAGUAAUAAUUUUCAUCUGGAGAUUCGGUAUCACCAACAUCUGAAAAUUCUGUUUUUGAGUUCUAAAUGUUUGAUGAAUUGCUUCUGUUGUUUGGUUUUAUUGAUGUUGUUUAAUUUUUGUAAUUUAAGGAUACGAAAUGUAGAUGAAGUAUUUGGAUCUGGCAUUUAGUAUGUUUAUUUACAUAUUCUCAGUUUUUACUAAACAAAAUUGUUACAAAAUGUGAAG
Molecule: long non-coding RNA, 2467 nt
Organism: Papaver somniferum (opium poppy)
Lineage: Eukaryota; Viridiplantae; Streptophyta; Magnoliopsida; Ranunculales; Papaveraceae
Exons: 3
Source: RefSeq, a predicted model, not a curated record